Long non-coding RNA from Condylura cristata (star-nosed mole), 482 nucleotides. RefSeq lists it as uncharacterized. The transcript is spliced from 3 exons. NCBI's taxonomy places the organism in Eukaryota, Metazoa, Chordata, Mammalia, Eulipotyphla, Talpidae. The record is from RefSeq and is a predicted model, not a curated record.
UGCUGAGCCCUGUGGAUCGCUACAACAAGGCUCAAUUCAACAAGACCACACUGCACUGUGACUUGAGCUGGCCGUGGGAAGCACCAGCCAAAGGAAAUUUCAAGAAUCAAAGCCUUAAUAUCUCAUCUCAUUCUGUCUGAGACACAAGUAUUUAACAAAUAAAGGAGAAACCACUGAUGUUGGGAAAACUGGACAGUCACAUGCAAAAGAAUUAAACAAGAUCACUAUCUCCCAUCGUUCACAAAAACAACUCAAAAGGAAUUAAAGGUCCCAGAAAUGAAUGCUGGCAUCAGGGACCCCUCACCGAAGGAGACUUCGGGUACAGCUGGCUCUUACAACACCUGUAAUACUGAGCAGAGUGGCGACCCUUGGAAACACCAGGAUAGCAGAUGGUGCACCCAAGUUAAAGACACUAUUUUGUGAUUUUUUAUAUCAAACUUAACUGUUUGAUUAAAAUGUAGAAUUUGUUGCCAGGGGUUAAC